CUACAAAUGAAUUGACGGGGACCCGCACAAGCAGCGGAGCGUGUGGUUUAAUUCGUUGCUACACGAAGAACCUUACCUGGGUUUGACAUAUAGGUUGUAGGGAACUGAAAGGGACCGACCCUUCGGGGAGCCUAUCAGGUGUUGCAUGGCUGUCGUCAGCUCGUGUCGUGAGAUGUUCGGUUAAGUCCGCUAACGAGCGCAACCCUCGUCGUAUGUUAUAUGUGUCAUACGAGACUGCCGGUAAAAGCCGGAGGAAGGUGAGGAUGAUGUCAAGUCAGCAUGACCUUUAUAUCCAGGGCUACACACACGCUACAAUGGUCUGUACAAUGGGUAGCCAAGCCGCGAGGCGGAGCCAAUCCUGAAAGCAGGCCUCAGUUCAGAUUGCAGUCUGCAACUCGACUGCAUGAAGCCGGAGUUGCUAGUAACCGCAGGUCAGCAAUACUGCGGUGAAUACGUUCCCGGGUCUU
This 467-nucleotide ribosomal RNA is filed under the name uncultured Anaerolineaceae bacterium. RNAcentral describes it as "bacterial SSU rRNA". It matches the Rfam family "Bacterial small subunit ribosomal RNA", at positions 903 to 1382 of the family's 1533-position model. Lineage: Bacteria; Bacillati; Chloroflexota; Anaerolineae; Anaerolineales; Anaerolineaceae. The record is from RNAcentral.